AGAGUUUGAUCAUGGCUCAGAUUGAACGCUGGCGGCAGGCCUAACACAUGCAAGUCGAGCGGUAGCACAGAGAGCUUGCUCUCGGGUGACGAGCGGCGGACGGGUGAGUAAUGUCUGGGAAACUGCCUGAUGGAGGGGGAUAACUACUGGAAACGGUAGCUAAUACCGCAUAAUGUCGCAAGACCAAAGUGGGGGACCUUCGGGCCUCAUGCCAUCAGAUGUGCCCAGAUGGGAUUAGCUAGUAGGUGGGGUAACGGCUCACCUAGGCGACGAUCCCUAGCUGGUCUGAGAGGAUGACCAGCCACACUGGAACUGAGACACGGUCCAGACUCCUACGGGAGGCAGCAGUGGGGAAUAUUGCACAAUGGGCGCAAGCCUGAUGCAGCCAUGCCGCGUGUGUGAAGAAGGCCUUCGGGUUGUAAAGCACUUUCAGCGGGGAGGAAGGCGNNCGAUUGACGUUACCCGCAGAAGAAGCACCGGCUAACUCCGUGCCAGCAGCCGCGGUAAUACGGAGGGUGCAAGCGUUAAUCGGAAUUACUGGGCGUAAAGCGCACGCAGGCGGUCUGUCAAGUCGGAUGUGAAAUCCCCGGGCUCAACCUGGGAACUGCAUUCGAAACUGGCAGGCUAGAGUCUUGUAGAGGGGGGUAGAAUUCCAGGUGUAGCGGUGAAAUGCGUAGAGAUCUGGAGGAAUACCGGUGGCGAAGGCGGCCCCCUGGACAAAGACUGACGCUCAGGUGCGAAAGCGUGGGGAGCAAACAGGAUUAGAUACCCUGGUAGUCCACGCCGUAAACGAUGUCGAUUUGGAGGUUGUGCCCUUGAGGCGUGGCUUCCGGAGCUAACGCGUUAAAUCGACCGCCUGGGGAGUACGGCCGCAAGGUUAAAACUCAAAUGAAUUGACGGGGGCCCGCACAAGCGGUGGAGCAUGUGGUUUAAUUCGAUGCAACGCGAAGAACCUUACCUGGUCUUGACAUCCACAGAACUUNUUGGUGCCUUCGGGAACUGUGAGACAGGUGCUGCAUGGCUGUCGUCAGCUCGUGUUGUGAAAUGUUGGGUUAAGUCCCGCAACGAGCGCAACCCUUAUCCUUUGUUGCCAGCGGUUCGGCCGGGAACUCAAAGGAGACUGCCAGUGAUAAACUGGAGGAAGGUGGGGAUGACGUCAAGUCAUCAUGGCCCUUACGACCAGGGCUACACACGUGCUACAAUGGCAUAUACAAAGAGAAGCGACCUCGCGAGAGCAAGCGGACCUCAUAAAGUAUGUCGUAGUCCGGAUUGGAGUCUGCAACUCGACUCCAUGAAGUCGGAAUCGCUAGUAAUCGUAGAUCAGAAUGCUACGGUGAAUACGUUCCCGGGCCUUGUACACACCGCCCGUCACACCAUGGGAGUGGGUUGCAAAAGAAGUAGGUAGCUUAACCUUCGGGAGGGCGCUUACCACUUUGUGAUUCAUGACUGGGGUGAAGUCGUAACAAGGUAACCGUAGGGGAACCUGCGGUUGGAUCACCU
Molecule: ribosomal RNA, 1500 nt
Filed under: Klebsiella pneumoniae
Lineage: Bacteria; Pseudomonadati; Pseudomonadota; Gammaproteobacteria; Enterobacterales; Enterobacteriaceae
Description: bacterial SSU rRNA
Rfam family: Bacterial small subunit ribosomal RNA
Source: RNAcentral